UACGGGGGGAGCAAGCGUUGUUCGGAUUUACUGGGCGUAAAGGGCGCGUAGGCGGUCAUGACAAGUCAGUUGUGAAAUCUCCGGGCUUAACUCGGAACGGUCAACUGAUACUGUCAGACUAGAGUGCAGAAGGGGCAACUGGAAUUCUCGGUGUAGCGGUGAAAUGCGUAGAUAUCGAGAGGAACACCUGCGGCGAAGGCGGGUUGCUGGGCUGACACUGACGCUGAGGCGCGAAAGCCAGGGGAGCGAACGGG
This 254-nucleotide ribosomal RNA is filed under the name uncultured bacterium. RNAcentral's name for it is "partial 16S ribosomal RNA". It matches the Rfam family "Bacterial small subunit ribosomal RNA", at positions 524 to 776 of the family's 1533-position model. The record is from RNAcentral.